Molecule: long non-coding RNA, 11598 nt
Filed under: Homo sapiens (human)
Lineage: Eukaryota; Metazoa; Chordata; Mammalia; Primates; Hominidae
Description: long non-coding RNA NONHSAT208793.1
Source: RNAcentral
GUAGAAAAAAGGGAGGCUCCAGACUCCAAGAUGAUGAUUAAGGUGGGCCCUAAUCCAAUCUGACUGGUGUCCUCGUAAGAAGAGAAGAUGAGGACACAGACAAACACAGAGGGAAGACUGUGUGAGGGCACAGGGAGAAAAUGACUCUCUACAACAAGGAGAGAGGCUUCAGAAUAAACCAAUUCUGCUGACACCUCUCAAACUUCUAGCCUCCAGAAGAGUGAGGAAAUCCAUUUCUGUUGUAUAAGCCACCCAGUUUGUGGUGUUUAUUAUGGCGGCCCUAGCAAGGGAAUACAGAGGGAGACAGGUUCAGACAUGUAAAGCGAGCCUUUAAAAGACACCACGUGCACCAGUGGAGCCCCAGGCCCAGGCCCCACAGACCUUGCCUCCUGGUCCAGUCCUUACUUUAUCUCAGGAUGUGACAUUGCGUUUCUUAUGGAAAAGAUCUCACUAACCUACUUCAUUUAGGAAUGCAAUUUAAUUGGCAACUCAACGGUGAUGUCGCUUCUUUUGCCAUUUUUCUGCAACACCAAAGGAAAAAAUUUUAAGCCAGCUUUUUUUAGCUGCAAAGAUGACAAAUGUUAUCAACAAUAUCCAACCAGAGUAUAUUUUCAUCCCUUUUCAUCCCGUCACGAUAAGCCAGAAGUAUUUGUUGCCAGAAAUGGAAAACAGCUUGUUCAUCAGCCAGAUGAUCGCAGUGCUCAGAAGUUCCACUCGUUUGCCAUGUGUGAAAAGUUAAGAAUUGAAAACAGACAGGCUUGCUCUGCUUAAACCGUGAGUUCUGUGAAGCAAGAGAAAGAGAAAUUUGGAUACUAGGAGAAGAGUUGUGAGAUGGUUUCGACGGCAAAGUGAACAGGGCCUUUUCACAUUAUUCUGAGAUGGGACCUCUGGGUUGAUUUGAUAGUGGAUAUGACUGUUCUCUAAUUGGCUAGAAGAUGAGUCUAAAGUUACCAACCACCGGAGGAUACUUUUGUGUUCUAGAACAAAUUCCAAUGUCCUACACAAAUGUGAUGCUGGGGACUUCUCUGUUACCUGACACCAAAUUUCCUAGACAUUUCCAUUAUACUUCCUCUUCCUGAUUAUCUUGAGUGGGAAAUCUCCAUGAGUUCUUAGUAGAAGGCAGAAGUAUACAGUGGACCUGGGCCUUCAUUAGAAACCAUGAGACUUCAAAUGAGAGCCUGAAUUAUUCCUUUAUGUUUUCAUUUAUGUGAGAAAAUAAGGGAUAUUGUUGACUUUUUAUGAGAUUAAGUUACCCAGUUAUCCAUCCUAUUAUUAUAAGUUUUAGUGUUUGCAAAGAGAUUUCUGAUCGUUUUUAUUAGUCUCUUUGUAAUAGCUUCAGGGACUUUUUGACAAAAGAGAGAACCAUUUUAAGCAGUAGAAAUGUAGGCUUACAGAGGUCAAAUGGUUAAUUUGAGAUUGCCCAGCAAAACAAAACAAUACGAAAAAGAACACCUGAAGAAAAAUCAAGAUUCAUACUCUGGGCUGUAAUUACCAUUCUGUAGGUUUCCGGAAGCUCAUAUAGUCACAUUACAUUUUGUUCAUGUCGUUAGAAAUCAUUUGCAGUUCAACACUUAGAUUCCCUCCUGUGUUUGAUUUGCAAGGUCUUGGAAGUUAACUUGAACUCAAGGAUUUGUCUACCUAAGAGAGGCAAAUAGAAAAACCCCUAAAGCCACCUGACCUGAUUCUUCUUUGUUAAGACCAGCUCAGAAUAGAGUGAAAUAAGCAAGCUGCAGAAAGACAAUGCUACGUUGAGUUCCACUUCCUCUUGAUAAAUUCAGAACAGCCAGUCCAUCUUAAGGGUGGAUGUUUUUAGCAGCAGGGAGUGGUAGUUGGAUGGAGGCAAGCGGAUGGAAAGGAGGAGAGAGGAGAAGAGAGACAAACUCAGGUGCCCCAGAAAAGUCCACUUUCUCCGUCCCCAUUCAGGCCACCUUCAUCUUCCCCCACCCUCUGCUGGCCUUUCUGGGGGCUCAGGUUUUGAGCUGACUGAGCCCUCAGCGGGAGACCACAACGCAUUUUCAGAUGAAAGGACAACCCUGAAGGUACCUAUUACAUGUCUGUGAGCAGAGAAACAAAGGCCCGGCUGCUGACACCCUCCCACUAACUUGAGUUUUAAUGGUAGGUUUGAUUUCCUCACGCUUAGCUGAAAGAAAGGGAAAAAACUAAGCGGAAAGAACGAGGGUGUGGGUAUCUGUGGUGGUGGGGAAACGACAGCUGUUGUAUUCAUGGUUAAUCAGGUGUGUCUGGCUUUGUGUCGCAUCUGUCUGCUACUGUUGCCAGGCCACAUGUGAAAGGGAACCGAGGGGAAGGGGCCAUUCAUGUUCAAAGCCAGUAGCACUGACCUCUGCCUCGUUCUCUUCAGGGUAGGAAAGCUUGUCUAUUUAACUUUCCCUAUUAUAGGAAGCUGUAAUUCUACUCUAUUAGCCCACCCUAACCAUUUUGGCCUGACAAAUGCAAGCUGCAUCCAGAAUGCCAUAAAUCUGCAUGGGAAGGAGUCCUCCUCCCUCCUUCCCAUUUUUUUCCUUUGGGGUUCGGUUCGAUUUGUCAAACAAGAGAAAACCAGCAAGAGAGAGAAAAAUGAGAACUCAGGGCAUCUUGGUUCACCUUCCAUCUUAAAUGGGCCUAGGGACCGAGAUGGGGGCUGGGAGGCACCCCAAGGUCAAGCCUGGAGCACUGGUUCCCCCUCCAGAUCUGUUUAUCUCACGAGUCCCACAUGCGUGUGGUGAUUGCGUCAGACCUUAGUCAUCUCCCUGGCACCAAAUCCUCCUCCUGGAUCCUUGAUCCCCCUCCUCCUUCUCUGCCCACAUACAGAGGGACCAUGAUGGAGGAGGGGAGGCUUCUGGCUUCUCCUGGAGCCAGGCCUGUGUUCUAGAUAUUGCUGGCCCAGGCCUGCCAGGCACGACUCUCCUCUCUGGCAUAUGGAGAAACAGCUGAAAUGGAAACAACCCCCAAUGCACCACAUUGCACUAAAGCUUAGCGUCAGAGUUCAAAGGACUACUCCAAUUGGAGAUCAAACUGAUCCCUCCCACUGUGGCCUUUUUUGAGGGGGUCCAUCACAACCCUUCGGGGGUGCUUUUCUCCAGCACUUCCGCUUCAGGGCCAGCCCUUGUGUUUCUUGGAGUAAAUGAUUGCUGUCAGCAUUUCCAACACCAUGGAGUUCUGGCUCCAACUUUGGCUUCCUGGAGAAUGGGCCAUCAUAGACUUAUUACAGGGUUCAGAAGAGCUUGCCAUCUGCAAUCUAUUUUAGUUGUCACUGCCUCUUAAAAUAGGCACUAACUUUUAUCCCAUCACAUUAAUUCCUCUCAUGUUGAGGCUAGAGUCGAGCUUUUGGGGUGUGUGUAUGCACGUAACUAUCUUUUUAAAAUCAGAAGGGUUAUUUUCCUAAGACAUGGGUUAUCAGCAGCACAGCUGAGUUUCCUCUUUCUACUGGCCUGUGCUGAUGAAGUUGGUUGCGUUAUUGACCUGCAGCUUUGGGGUCAGAAUGCUUUUGGUUCCCUGAUGUAGAAGGACAUUGCAAAACUAUCCCAGUGCCCUGUGCACUGUCUUUCUCUCUCUGAUACUCCCCAGAUCUCCAAAUUUUAAUGGUGUCAAUAGACAUAACUCAUGCUCCUGCUAGAAGCCUAGCACCCUGCUAGGCUCUGUGAGGACUUUGAGAAUUUGUCAUCUUGUGAGACGCCAUGAAUAAUGCAAGAAAUAGCAAAACAGGUCUGAAAAUGAAGUCUAACUAAAAAGUGUACAAAUCCUAAGUGUACAGCUCUAUGAAUUAUUACUAAGUGAAUAUGCUCACGUAACCAUCACCUAGAUUAAGAAACAGAACAUUACCGCCACUGGAAACUUCUUAAAGUUCUACCUAGGUGGACACCUUGUUAUAUCUAAAACAAUUCUACAACGUGAUUGGGAGUGAGAUUUAGUUCUUAAUUAUGUGGCUAUGGAAAUGUAGAUUUUGAAAGGUUCCCAUUGGCUGGAAGAGAUUUGCCCAUGGGAAGAUUUUGAGUAUGCCCUGGGCUGGCCUGCUGAAGUUGAACUUUAGAGAACCCGGGCGGGCUGGCUGUGCAAUGCUCUUGGCUCCAGAGAAGGACAUGCAAGAUUCUGGCAUCCUUUUUAAAAAAAUUGUGGUAAAAUAUACAUAACAUAAAAUUAAUCAUUGUAAUCAUUUUUAAGUGUGCAGCUCAGCAGUGUUAAGUACAGAUUGUUGCGCAAUGAUCACCACCAUCCAUCCCCAGAGCUCUUUCAUCUUGAAAAACGGAAACUCAAUACCCAUUAAACAGCAACUCCCUAUUUCCCUCCACCCCCAUACCCGGUAACUACCAUUCUACUUUCUGUCUUUCUGAAUUUGACUACUGUAGGUACCUCACAGAAGUAGAAUCAUGCCAUAUUUGUCUUUUUGAGACCGUUUUAUUUCACUGAGCGUAAUGUCCUCAAGGUUCAUCCAUGUCAUGGCAUGUGUCAGAAUUCCCUUCCUUUUUAAGGCUGAAUAAUAUUCCACUGUACAUGUGUACCACAUUUAGUUUACUCAUUCAUCCAUCCAGGGACUCUUGGGUCACUGCCACCUUUUGGCUCCUGCAAAUAAUGCUGCUUUGAACAUGGGUGUACAAAUUACCCUUAUGCACCUUUCCAUUCUUUUGGGUGUAUACCUAAAAGUGGGAUUGCUGGAUCAUAUGGUAAUUGUAUCUUUAGUUUUGGAGGAAUUACUAUAUCAUUUGCUGUAGCAGCUCACUAUUCUGGAAUCCUUUUCACCUGGACCAUUUCCUCCUGACCAGCCUCCUGGAUGGCAUUAGAGGGAGCCUGACACGUGGAUUGAGGUGGUGGCAAUAGUGAGGAUGGUGGUCUGUACUCUGUAUGUGCCCGUUGUUGGGAAUCUAGAGCAAAUGGGGCAGGAUGGAGUGUGACACCACAAUCCAUGGUGGAAACUUGAGAGUUCACUGAAUAGAGGGGGAGGAAUUUAUUUAUUUACUUAUUUUUAUUUUUGAGACAGGGUCUUGCUCUGUCACUUAGGCUGGCAUGCAGUGGUGCAACAUAGCUCACUGCAGCCUUGAACUCCUGGGCUCAAGAGAUGUUUCCACCUCAGUCUCCUGAGCAACUGAGACGACAGGCCCACAUCACCACACCUAGCUAUUUAAAAAAAUUAUUUUUAUUUUGUAGAGAUGGGGUCUCAUUAUGUUGCCCAAGCUGCUCUUGGUCUCAAACUCUUGAGCUCAAGUGAUGCUCCCACCUUCAGCCUCCCAAAGUGCUAGAUUUACAGACGUGAGCCACUGUGCCCAGUCUGUGGGAAUAGUUCAUUUUGCACAAAGAUAAAUGCUUUUCCCCCUAAUUUGUGGGAGACUGAGGUUAAAGGAGUCCUUAAUAACCAGGUAUUCAGAGGCCUUCUGCCUGUUCAGUGUAUCACCUCCAGAUUUUUGGGGGGCCUUUAGGCGUAAGUGUUGAGAUAUUUAUAGAACAGAUUAUGAGCUUUUAAAUAGAUUACCUAAAAAAAAAGAAGAAGAGAGAGAGUGAGGGAAAUGGUAGCCAGUAAACCAACUGAGGAAGGCACACACCUUUUGCCUGAUAGGGAUGUCGAGGAGAGGGAUGCCACUUGAAUACGAAGGUCGUUCUUGGGCUCACGGGUGCAGUCGUUUGGGUUUAGUGCUGGCUGCUGAUGCCAGAAGCACUCAGUAUUGAACAUUCAGGGGCUUCUUCAAACAAUUUUAAGUAUUUCUGUUUUCUAAAUCUUGAUGCUUUAUUGCUAGGGAUAAGCUCACAUUAAUAUCCACUGGAAGGAAGAACUAUGAGGAUCACCAGGGUGAGGACCUUUAGAACUGAAGAAGGACACAUUAUUAUUGCUAAAAGAAUAUCUGCUUCUUCCCAGUUCCUUCCCUUUGGCCUUCUCCCAUUUCAUUAUAGGAAAAAAAAGCUCCAUGAAAUUACAUAUUGUUUUCUUAAAUUUAAAAGAUACGUAUGGCUGCCACCUAAAGUCUGUCAAGGAAAAAAAAUGUCCUACCCCAAAUGGUAACCAUUAUUUAACAGUUGUUUUAUUUUCUUCCAAAACGCUCUGUAUAUAUUCACUGUGCUUUUGAGGCAGCACAGUUUAGUUCUAAUUACUUACAACCCAAACACCACCAAUUAUAAAAAUAUACAGAUACUACCCGUAUGCAACUCUUUACCAUUAUAAACUACUUUCACAUAUAAUUGAACCUUAUCAAAAUUGAAAUUAGUAGUAGUCUUUUUUUUUUUUUUUUUGAGAGGGAGUCUGGCACUGUUGCCCAGGCUGGAGUGCAGUGGUGUGAUCUUGGCUCUUGGCUCACUUCAACCUCUGCCUUCCGGGUUCAAGCGAUUCUCCUGCCUCAGCCUCCUGAGUAGCUGGGAUUACAGGCAUGCGCCACCAUGUCUGGCUAAUUUUUGUAUUUUUAGUAGAGACUGAGUUUUGUCAUGUUGGCCAGGCUGGUCUCAAACUCCCAACCUCAGAUGAUCUACCUGCCUUGGCCUCUGAAGUGCUGGGACUACAGGUGUAAGCCACCAAGCUUGGCUGAAAUUGGUAUUAUUCUUAUUUAAUAGAAAGGAGAGGCAGGGGAGAUUAAGACACUUGUUCAAAUUUACACCACAUGUUAGAAAAUGGAGUUGGGACAAGAAUCCAAGUCAUUGAAGUAAACUGUAGGUCCACAAGCCUUUCUCCUCCACCAUAGAAUCUGGAGUGAACAUUGGAGGCCAAAGUGCCUUACAGAAAUACUUAAAGGAGCUACCAAGUCACUGGCUUCAUAAAGCUGACUAAUCUUCAUGUGUCCAUGGUGUCAGUUUAUGAAACCCUUUAUCUUAUACGAGGAGGCACACUGGACUCACUAAGAAUUGCAAUGAGAAUUGAGUUUAUUGGAAUAGGUAUAACCUCAAUAGAAUCAUAGAGAAGACAACUGAGAACCUGGAAAACAUUUUUAGUAUUCAUGAGUGUGUUGGCACCAGCUUAUUUAUAAAGUUGUUUUGACAACGUGUGUGCCUUAAACUUCUAUUUAUAAGAAGUAAAAUGGAAUCAUCUUCUUACCCUGCUGAGUUGCAAAUUCUGUUUUAGGGCAAAUUUUUAAUCUGCCUCUUUAAUAUAGAGCAAUAGAUAUAUUUUUUUUCCUGCUGAGUUUAUUUUUUCAAGUACAUAAGUUAAUUAAGAACCAUUUACCUGAAGAUAUGUUUUCUUCCUUAUGAAGUACAUAAUGAGAACAUGGCCACAGAUGUUAGGUAGUGACAGAAAUGCCUGUCUGGAAGGUGAAUUCUUUAAAUUUUUUUUAUCUCACAAUAGCUGUAUAGAGAAUUGUUGAUGGUUCAUGUUUUAUUUCCCUUUGUUAUAAAAUUUUCAUAGUUUGCAAAAAUAAAAGUUAUGGGCUAUGUGUCCUUUAUUUGAUACUCCCUGUGAGAAAGGGUAAGAUAGAAGAUUCAGUAAUGGCCAGUGUUGGUGGAAGAGACUGCUGCUUGUAACCAGUAGAGAGGAACGGGGGGUGGGGAAGUUUACUUCAGCACUGUAUUGAUUAGAAUUAGAUUCUUCUUUAUAGGAGACAGAAAUAUCUUAUAUAAGUGGCAUAAAAAUAUGAAAGUAAAUGUGUCUUUUACAUAAAAGAAAUUCAGAGUUGCAGUCUAUGGCUGGUAUGGUUCCUCCAUGAGGUUUUCAGAUACUCAGUUUCCUUCUAGUUCAUUAAUCUGUCAUUCUUAGGUUAUAGCUUUUGUCUUUAUUGUCUUCAUGAUUCAAGAUGGCUGCUAGAGCUCCAGCCAUCAUUCCUUCCUUCCUUCUUUCCUUCCUUCAUUUCUUUCUUUCCUUCUUUCCUUCUUUCUCUCUUUCUCUCUCCUUCCUUCCUUCCUUCCCCCCUUCCUUCCUUCCUUCUUUCUUUCAUUCUUUUGUUCUUUCUUGCUCUCUCACCCAGACUGGAGUGCAGUGGCACAAUCACAGCUCACUACAGCCUCUAACUCCUGGGCUUAAGUGAUCCUCCUGCCUCAGCUUCUCGAGUAGCUGAGGCUACAGUUGCACAGUACUAUGCCUGGCUAAUUUUUAAAUUCUUUGUAGAGAGAGGGUCUUGCUUGGUUUCCUGGGCUGGUCUUGAAAUCCUGGCCUUGAUCUCCUGCCUUGGCCUCCCAAAGUUGCUAGGAUUACGGAUAUGAGCCACUGCACCUGGCUCAUGUGUGUGUGUGUGUGUGUGUGUGUUUUUACAGAGGAACUUCCUAGAAAUUCCACACAAUACUUCUGCUUAUGUUGUAUUGUCCAGAACCUAGUCAUAUGGCCACAUUUACCUGCCAGGUAGGCUGGGAAAUAUAUGUUGUGGAUGGCAAUAAGCUGAAAUAAAAAUUGAAGUUCUGUUAUUGAAAAGGGGAAAAAUGGAUUUUUUUUUCCAGGAAGAACUUUUUAUUAAUAUAAAGUUUUAAGAUAUUCACCAGUCAGAUCUAAACUUACUCAUUAAACUCUAUUUUUAAAAAAUGAACACACUGUACUGCAGUGAAAGGCAGGAACGUGGUUUUAGACACUGAUUGAAAACCAGUGUCUUCACGCACUGAGAACAGGAAACAUUCUGCACUGCGAACGAAGUGCACAGUCAACAGGAAGACACACACACACGACAGAAAGCCCCCAGUGUGAGUGACCGUGUACCUGGGCAGGUGACAGGAUGCCCAGGCCGUGGCUUGGACAUGGCUGCCACGCUGCGAUGCCUGCUGGGCCCCACAAGGACUGGGGACACACACAGAGCCCAGCUAUACACUGUGAUAGAGUCCACCCAUUUUGCUACCCUAUACCCAUGUGCACUGUUCUCCUACCUUCCUGCUACCUGGAUUGUGAUUGUAAGGCCUGGAUUCCAAGAUGUUAACUUGAUAAUAAAAGCCACACACAAUAGAACAGUAAGAUGCAAGGCACAUGCAUCCCUGGCACUGUGGAGCUGUGGACAGACUAGCUCUAGAUUUCCACGUGAGAGAGAAAUACCUCUCUAUUUUGAUUAAACCAUUUUGCUAGAGUUUUGAUGGUUGCAGCUGAGCCUAAUCUUAACAGAUACAAGCAUAAUAUAAACUUAUAAAAUAGUGUUCUUUUUAAGAUUGUGUCUUACUUUGCCUACCAAUGCAGGUGGACUGACCAUCUGCCUAUCCAGCCUGGCCUACCAUGUGAUACUAGGUAUACGAAGUUGGCUCAGAAGUUAAUUUCACUCACGGGAGCUUCUGUUCUAGGAAGAACAAACAAACCAAUGCAGUAAAGGGACUCCCAUUGCUUUAAUGGAAAUCUGUAUAAAAGAGAGUGGUGCCCAGAGAUAUUUGCUAUAUGCUCUACUGCCAUCUUAGACUAGGAAAAACCAAAACCAAAACAAUGCUGACCAUAGCAUAUUUUUUUCAUCAUUGACAUUAUCUUUAUAUUAAUCACUUGUAAUUAUUCCUUGAAUAUACAAAAUCUGACUAUUGGUUUUUGUUUAUAUUGAGAGAAUGAUGACAUCAGAUUAAACAUUAAUUUUCCCUUGAGAAUCUUUCAAUACAAUUGGAGUAGAAUUUUUUUUUUUUGAGACAGGGUCUUGCUGUGCCACCCAGGCUGGGGUGCAGUGGGGCAAUCAUGGCUCACUGCAGCCUCAACCUCCUGGGCUCAGGUGAUCCUCUUGCCUCAGCCUCCUAAGUAGCUGGUACCACACGCGUGCACCACCACACCUGACAAAUAUUGGAAAAUUAUUUAUAGAGAUGAGGUCUCCCUAUGUUGUUCAGACUGGUCUCAAACUCCUGAACUCAAGCGCUCCUCUUGCCUCGGACUCUUAAAGUGCUGAGAUUGCAGGUGUGAGCCACUGCACCCAGCCUGGAGCAGAAUAUUUUUACAUAAAACUAAAGAGAGGUUGGCGACUUAUAAUCGUGUUCAGGAGGUAGCAAAUGUUUUACUUAGGUGAGAAGAAAUAUACUUUUCGUGUUGUCAUAGAGUAAGCCCAAUCCUUAUUUACUUUUGUUACCAUUGGCAUGACAACAAUCAUUGGAGCAUCUUUGUCUUCCAAACAUUUCUUAUAUUAUUUACUUUUUCAUAGCAACUUAAAACGGAAGAUCAUAGAGUUUAGGUGACUUGCCCUAGGACACGCCCUUGGAAAAUAGUAGAGCCAGAAUUUGAAUUCAGUUCUGGGUCUCUUUUUUUUUUUUGAAUUCCAUUCAUGUGUUGAUAAUAGCUGCUAUGGAGACUUAGCCAGGAAAGCAGAUGUGGAUGGUUAGCGGAAGCUAAAGAGGAAAAAGGUUAAGCUUUUUUUUUGAAGUUUUCCUGCUCAGCUAGGAAAACAUUGCUGCAGUUAUCAGGUAAUUGAAGUGUCAACGUGACGCUGUCAGAAAGGUUGGAUGAAUUUGUUCCUGUUGGCCUAUAUUUGGCUGUUAAGUGAGUUGCACAAUUGCAGUUUUCAGGUUAAGAAACUCUCUGGCAGUCGUGGGAGUUCCUCUUUAGAAGCAACUCUGCUAACAUGCAAAAUCAAUGUCACUGAAGAUUUUGCUUAUGUUACUGCCUCCAACACUGUUUGAUCCUUACAUAAAAGAGACAUUUGUCAUUUGACAGGACUAAGACUGGGAAAGGUUGUGGAGGCUUCCCCCAGCUGUGGUGCACAAAUAUCUACACAUUCUGUCUGCUUAAGUUUCUUUGGAAUGUUUUCAUUGCAAAGGCUGGGUCACUGAGGGGGCCUGCCCUUGCCCUUUGACCUUGGUAAAUUACUGCCCCCAGUCCUGAUGAGUUUGCAGGACAAACUUCCAUCAUCUUCCCAACCUUGGCAAUGAGGGAGAAGGCUGGACCUCCCUGGCUUUGUUUUAAUCCAUUUUCACCUCCCUUUUCUUUUUCUUUCUCUUAAUUCUUGUUGUUCUUCCUUUGAGUGACUACCAGCCCCUAUGUAACUCUUUCUCUUUUUUUUCUACCCCUCUAUCUUGGCUGCCACUCAACUUCAAAGCUCACUUCAGCAGGAGAAAUGUGUGAGUUGUAUGGAAAUGCUGCCCUCUGGACUUUCAGUAUUUUAACCCCCGGACUUGAUUCAACUGCUUCCCAAAUGAUUGGAAAGAAAUAUCCCAAGCCCAGAACUGGAGAAACCCUUUUUUUUUCAGUGACCAAAUAGAUUUUGGUGUUGUGCCUAUGUACCUUUGAUCAAUUCAUAUUUCCAAUUUGGGGACAUGCUUUUUCUAAAGACAAGUGUCUUUCACUUAGAGGAACUUAGCUGAUGGAUGACUUGUACAGAUCCAAUUAGUCUUGUUUCAGAUUAUAGGCAUUCAGAAAGAGGUAUCUUUUAAUGGUUUUUUGGGACCGUGGGAAUUUUGUUACAAUAUCUGUCACAUCUUCCAGUAAAAAAGUGAUAGCAAUUUUUUUCUCUUUGGAGGUCUUUUUAAAAUGCCUUCUUUCCUCAUUGCUACAGAUAUGUUCUUGCAUAAAUCUUUGAAGCAAGCCAAUGUCUUCUAGAAUCUCAUUAAAUUUCAUGACUUUCCAUUCCUUGUGUUGAAAAUAUAUUCCAUUUUUUACAUAACAUUUUAAACAUUAUCCCUUAAAAAGGUAAAGGAUGUUCAUAGGGAAUCAGAAAGUUUGUAAAACACAAAUAAUAAAAAUUAAAAUAAUCCAUAAUGAUAAAAUUGUCACGUUUUAUCCUGUUUAUUUUGCUUAGAGAGUGAUAGAGCCUUUGUUGGGUG